This 253-nucleotide ribosomal RNA is filed under the name uncultured bacterium. Its description in RNAcentral is "partial 16S ribosomal RNA". It matches the Rfam family "Bacterial small subunit ribosomal RNA", at positions 524 to 776 of the family's 1533-position model. The record is from RNAcentral.
UACGGGGGGGGCAAGCGUUGUUCGGAAUUACUGGGCGUAAAGGGUUCGUAGGUGGCCAACUAAGUCAGACGUGAAAUCCCUCAGCUUAACUGGGGAACUGCGUCUGAUACUGGUUGGCUUGAGUGCAGGAGAGGAACGCGGAAUUCCAGGUGUAGCGGUGAAAUGCGUAGAUAUCUGGAGGAACACCGGUGGCGAAGGCGGCGUUCUGGACCGCAACUGACACUGAGGAACGAAAGCCAGGGGAGCAAACGGG